Molecule: long non-coding RNA, 303 nt
Organism: Rhagoletis pomonella (apple maggot)
Lineage: Eukaryota; Metazoa; Arthropoda; Insecta; Diptera; Tephritidae
Exons: 2
Source: RefSeq, a predicted model, not a curated record
UGGGGAUACUUGCGCACGGCAGGGUUGUUAUUUCAAAUACAACACUUUGAAUGACUCCCACCCGGGCUGGACAUAAAUACAUAUUUGAAUUAUCGUUUCACAGUUAAAAUUUUGCACUUGCGGCAAUCAAACCAACUUGUGAUCUCGGUGAGCUUUGAAAAGACUCAAAAAUAUGAGCAAUCGUGUCGUAAAAACUUCCAAAAAAGGAAGCCAGACCCGAAAAACAAUUACGAGCACUAAGAAAUCAAUUAAAAAGACAAAGACGGGUACCAUCGAAACCGUUGAAAAGAAAGUAACUGUAGU